This 285-nucleotide ribosomal RNA is filed under the name uncultured bacterium. RNAcentral describes it as "partial 16S ribosomal RNA". It matches the Rfam family "Bacterial small subunit ribosomal RNA", at positions 335 to 638 of the family's 1533-position model. The record is from RNAcentral.
GACCUACGGGACGCAGCAGUGGGGAAUAUUGCACAAUGGGGGGAACCCUGAUGCAGCGACGCCGCGUGGGUGAAGGAGCACCUCGGUGCGUAAAGCCCUAUCGGCAGGGAAGAAACAGACGGUACCUGACUAAGAAGCCCCGGCUAACUACGUGCCAGCAGCCGCGGGAAUACGUAGGGGGCAAGCGUUAUCCGGAUUCACUGGGUGUAAAGGGAGCGUAGACGGCGACGCAAGUCUGGAGGGAAAGCCCGGGGCCCAACCCCGGGAACGCUCUGGGAACUGCGG